AAUCGAAUUGUACACACAGAUCAGUAUAACACCACCACCCACCCCCGAGCCAAACUGCUUGCGUCAUGCAAUUUGUCUUACCACUGCGGUGUGUGCGGUAGAACGCGAGCCACGAAAGCGCUUGCAUUUGAACAUCAGUUCUGAUGGCAUUGAUGUUCCUAUCCAGGUUUGCACUGAGAAACGAAACUUUGAAGUCUUGCAGUUUCUUUUCCUCCUAAACUGUCUUUGAGACACUGCGAGACACAUCCUUUGUAUUUUUUUUUGUUAACUCAAUAUGGAAAAGAAAAAGGACCAACAAACUACGCCUAUAUGCCUUGUAUUUUUCUUGUUUGCGUUCAUGCAGUUCUUUCAUUCACUUCAUCACAAGUGUCUGCGCCAUCGUUGGUGGACUCUUCACGGUGUCGAGCCUGGUGGACUCUCUCAUCUACAACGCUCAGCGUGCACUGCAAAAGAAAAUUGAGCUGGGCAAGGCAUCAUGACCUAACCACGAGAGCUACUUAUGGAUCUCGACAGCAGUACAGAUAGCAGAUCCGCAGCCCCGGGGGGUUUCCCCCCUGUGUUGUAUCCUGUGCACCAUGAGGUGAGGUGCGCUGCUGCGCUGGCAAAGAAUAUCCUUUGCGGCAACCAGCCUGCCUGCCUGCAUGCUAGCCAUGCCGGCAUGUGUCCACUCUACUCUGCUCUCAUCGUCCAGCCGUAGAACUGCCUCACACUGACUGCUCUGGCCCCCUCUUGACUGACUGCCCUGCUGAUGAGGCCACUCGUCCGCUCAUUUGAGAAUCGGACUUACGCUUGCGACUGACAUCAGGACUCUUUUUUCUUUUCUUUUCUCUCGCUUAGUAUUGUGACCGCGAUUUUGGUUUUAAUGGCUUCGUGUAUGCUUAUUAUUGUUUAGGUAGUAUUUAAGGAUGGCGAGUGCACCUCUUCAACAGCCAGCCAUCGUCUUGCUCUCAUCUGACAAACUUACCUCUAAGACUUCUGAAUAGUAUUAGUGUUUUAGAUGAGUGUAAUAAAAUCAAGAGUGUUGAUUGCGAGAGCAUGGAACUUGUA
Long non-coding RNA from Sycon ciliatum, 1047 nucleotides. RefSeq lists it as uncharacterized. The record is from RefSeq and is a predicted model, not a curated record. Lineage: Eukaryota; Metazoa; Porifera; Calcarea; Leucosolenida; Sycettidae. The transcript is spliced from 2 exons.